This 1409-nucleotide ribosomal RNA is filed under the name Campylobacter jejuni. RNAcentral's name for it is "partial 23S ribosomal RNA". It matches the Rfam family "Bacterial large subunit ribosomal RNA", at positions 1528 to 2925 of the family's 2925-position model. The record is from RNAcentral. Lineage: Bacteria; Pseudomonadati; Campylobacterota; Epsilonproteobacteria; Campylobacterales; Campylobacteraceae.
UUGUACAGGCAAAUCCGUAUAACAAUACUCCGAGAACUGAAAGGCUUUUUGAAGUCUUCGGAUGGAUAGAAGAACCCCUGAUGCCGUCGAGCCAAGAAAAGUUUCUAAGUUUAGCUAAUGUUGCCCGUACCGUAAACCGACACAGGUGGGUGGGAUGAGUAUUCUAAGGCGCGUGGAAGAACUCUCUUUAAGGAACUCUGCAAAAUAGCACCGUAUCUUCGGUAUAAGGUGUGGUUAGCUUUGUAUUAGGAUUUACUCCGAAAGCAAGGAAACUUACAACAAAGAGUCCCUCCCGACUGUUUACCAAAAACACAGCACUCUGCUAACUCGUAAGAGGAUGUAUAGGGUGUGACGCCUGCCCGGUGCUCGAAGGUUAAUUGAUGGGGUUAGCAUUAGCGAAGCUCUUGAUCGAAGCCCGAGUAAACGGCGGCCGUAACUAUAACGGUCCUAAGGUAGCGAAAUUCCUUGUCGGUUAAAUACCGACCUGCAUGAAUGGCGUAACGAGAUGGGAGCUGUCUCAAAGAGGGAUCCAGUGAAAUUGUAGUGGAGGUGAAAAUUCCUCCUACCCGCGGCAAGACGGAAAGACCCCGUGGACCUUUACUACAGCUUGACACUGCUACUUGGAUAAGAAUGUGCAGGAUAGGUGGGAGGCUUUGAGUAUAUGACGCCAGUUGUAUAUGAGCCAUUGUUGAGAUACCACUCUUUCUUAUUUGGGUAGCUAACCAGCUUGAGUUAUCCUCAAGUGGGACAAUGUCUGGUGGGUAGUUUGACUGGGGCGGUCGCCUCCCAAAUAAUAACGGAGGCUUACAAAGGUUGGCUCAGAACGGUUGGAAAUCGUUCGUAGAGUAUAAAGGUAUAAGCCAGCUUAACUGCAAGACAUACAAGUCAAGCAGAGACGAAAGUCGGUCUUAGUGAUCCGGUGGUUCUGUGUGGAAGGGCCAUCGCUCAAAGGAUAAAAGGUACCCCGGGGAUAACAGGCUGAUCUCCCCCAAGAGCUCACAUCGACGGGGAGGUUUGGCACCUCGAUGUCGGCUCAUCGCAUCCUGGGGCUGGAGCAGGUCCCAAGGGUAUGGCUGUUCGCCAUUUAAAGCGGUACGCGAGCUGGGUUCAGAACGUCGUGAGACAGUUCGGUCCCUAUCUGCCGUGGGCGUAAGAAGAUUGAAGAGAUUUGACCCUAGUACGAGAGGACCGGGUUGAACAAACCACUGGUGUAGCUGUUGUUCUGCCAAGAGCAUCGCAGCGUAGCUAAGUUUGGAAAGGAUAAACGCUGAAAGCAUCUAAGCGUGAAGCCAACUCUAAGAUGAAUCUUCUCUAAGCUCUCUAGAAGACUACUAGUUUGAUAGGCUGGGUGUGUAAUGGAUGAAAGUCCUUUAGCUGACCAGUACUAAUAGAGCGUUUGGCUUAUCUUU